UGGGGAAUAUUGCACAAUGGGCGCAAGCCUGAUGCAGCCAUGCCGCGUGUAUGAAGAAGGCCUUCGGGUUGUAAAGUACUUUCAGCGGGGAGGAAGGGAGUAAAGUUAAUACCUUGCUCAUUGACGUUACCCGCAGAAGAAGCACCGGCUAACUCCGUGCCAGCAGCCGCGGUAAUACGGAGGGUGCAAGCGUUAAUCGGAAUUACUGGGCGUAAAGCGCACGCAGGCGGUUUGUUAAGUCAGAUGUGAAAUCCCCGGGCUCAACCUGGGAACUGCAUCUGAUACUGGCAAGCUUGAGUCUCGUAGAGGGGGGUAGAAUUCCAGGUGUAGCGGUGAAAUGCGUAGAGAUCUGGAGGAAUACCGGUGGCGAAGGCGGCCCCCUGGACAAAGACUGACGCUCAGGUGCGAAAGCGUGGGGAGCAAACAGG
Molecule: ribosomal RNA, 428 nt
Filed under: Chloroflexota bacterium
Lineage: Bacteria; Bacillati; Chloroflexota
Description: Chloroflexi bacterium partial 16S ribosomal RNA
Rfam family: Bacterial small subunit ribosomal RNA
Source: RNAcentral